This 620-nucleotide ribosomal RNA is filed under the name uncultured bacterium. RNAcentral's name for it is "bacterial SSU rRNA". It matches the Rfam family "Bacterial small subunit ribosomal RNA", at positions 338 to 1414 of the family's 1533-position model. The record is from RNAcentral.
CCUACGGGAGGCAGCAGUGAGGAAUAUUGGACAAUGGGCGCAAGCCUGAUCCAGCCAUGCCGCGUGCAGGAUGACGGUCCUAUGGAUUGUAAACUGCUUUUGCACAGGAAGAAACAACGCUACGUGUAGCGUCUUGACGGUACUGUGAGAAUAAGGAUCGGCUAACUCCGUGCCAGCAGCCGCGGUAAUACGGAGGAUCCAGGCGUUAUCCGGAAUCAUUGGGUUUAAAGGGUCCGUAAGGCGGUUUAGUAAGUCAGUGGUGAAAGCCCAUCGCUCAACGGUGGAACGGCCAUUGAUACUGCUAGACUUGAAUUAUUAGGAAGUAACUAGAAUAUGUAGUGUAGCGGUGAAAUGCUUAGAGAUUACAUGGAAUACCAAUUGCGAAGGCAGGUUACUACUAAUAUAUUGACGCUGAUGGACGAAAGCGUGGGUAGCGAACAGGAUUAGAUACCCUGGUAGUCCACGCCGUAAACGAUGGAUACUAGCUGUUGGGCGCAAGUUCAGUGGCUAAGCGAAAGUGAUAAGUAUCCCACCUGGGGAGUACGUUCGCAAGAAGAGAAACGUUAAAGUAAAGUUAGUAGACGUGAGAGUAGACGACGGACGACGACGAGGGGAGGAGG